Long non-coding RNA from Lagopus leucura (white-tailed ptarmigan), 521 nucleotides. RefSeq lists it as uncharacterized. NCBI's taxonomy places the organism in Eukaryota, Metazoa, Chordata, Aves, Galliformes, Phasianidae. The transcript has 4 exons. The record is from RefSeq and is a predicted model, not a curated record.
CUUCAGAAGUUAGAAAUAAGAUUGGCAGAUUCAUGUCCGUAUUCACCCACGCAGCAAAGUACUGGAAGAACUACAUUAUUUCAUCCCACUCUUCAUGCAUGUUCAAAAUAGUUGAUGGGUGAAGGAAUGCUGGCUGGUUUUACGCUAAGAAAAAAGCCUCCACAAGUUCACAUUCAGUACAGAACUGUGCAAGCUCUGGGUAGCAAUGUCAUGGUAGCGAAAGGAGAACAUGUGAACUUACCAACAGGCAGGACACAGUGCCACCUGCAGAGCUGACUUCAGACAGAGCACAGAGGGCACCUGAAGAAUAUGGGAUAGGGCAUAGUGGAUACAGCUCAUCUUGCUGGAGGAUCAUUAGACGAGAUACAACUGUUAAGUGAGAAGAUGAAAAGUUCAUUGUACUCUGCAGAGAAGAAAGACAAUUUUCUUUGUACGACUGGCAGAACAGCCCCAUGGCAGGAUUCGUAGGGUGAGUUAAAACCUUGUUCUGGACUAACUUCUCCCAUAGAGAAGACACGAAA